This 70-nucleotide transfer RNA is filed under the name Dipodomys ordii (Ord's kangaroo rat). It matches the Rfam family "tRNA". Rfam says of the family: Transfer RNA (tRNA) molecules are approximately 80 nucleotides in length. Their secondary structure includes four short double-helical elements and three loops (D, anti-codon, and T loops). Further hydrogen bonds mediate the characteristic L-shaped molecular structure. tRNAs have two regions of fundamental functional importance: the anti-codon, which is responsible for specific mRNA codon recognition, and the 3' end, to which the tRNAs corresponding amino acid is attached (by aminoacyl-tRNA synthetases). tRNAs cope with the degeneracy of the genetic code in two manners: having more than one tRNA (with a specific anti-codon) for a particular amino acid; and 'wobble' base-pairing, i.e. permitting non-standard base-pairing at the 3rd anti-codon position. Lineage: Eukaryota; Metazoa; Chordata; Mammalia; Rodentia; Heteromyidae. The record is from Rfam by way of RNAcentral.
GGGAAUGUGGCUUAGUGGUAGAGUACUUGCCUAGUAUGUAUGAAGCCCUGGGUUCGAUUCCUCAGUACCA